GAGCUGUUUGUACCCAAAGUCAUCUUAGCCAACCUGAAAAGGAGGCGGAUCGCCUAAGGUAUGUAUGGUGAUUGGGGUG
Molecule: ribosomal RNA, 79 nt
Filed under: uncultured bacterium
Lineage: Bacteria
Description: partial 16S ribosomal RNA
Source: RNAcentral